UUUUUUUUCAUUUCUCUUAUCUCGUUAGACGAAAGCAAACCGGUACAGUAUAUUCUGCAUUUGUAUAGUCCGAAGUUUCCCAAUUGAUAUUCUUGUUUCACAUGUAAAAUGAAUGAACAAUUAUAAAAAACGGCAUUCAUUUUGAAAUAUAGUACUGUUUUCUAGAGUGAAAAUGAAGUCACAUAUGUGAGGGUAUAAACGGGACGAACUGAUUAAAAAUAACGGGACCAACAAUUAUAUAUACCAAAACGAAAGAAUAGGUGCUGAAAUAUAAAUAAAAGUAAAAUUUAAUUUAGAUAACAUGGAGAUUUGGUCUAUACCUAUUCUUAUAACCACUCUUAAAUUUUGUUAAGAUUUUGUACACAGGCUGUAUAUCACGGACAGUUUUAUAUUGGUAUGGUAUAUUUUAUAAGUUUUACCUGAGCACACCUGGUUCACUCGCAAUCACGCACGUGAUUCAUUGACCUUGUUCAUUGUGUAUUAAAUUAAACAAGCCUGUCAGGAAGUCGACCGUAGAAUACCCGAAUAUGUCAUUUUUACAAUACCCCAGUAAUUACCGGUAUUAAGCCAUGCUGAUUACAAGAAGACAAGUUUUUGAACGUUGGUCAAGUUAGAUCAAAACCCAAAAUAAUCUAAAAAUAUACGUUAGAAAAAAGCAUUUAAAAAAACUUUUACAGCAAAGAUAAAUCUCAGUUUAUAAUUCCUCCACAAUAAGUAUCUCCGGACUUUUUUUUCACUUUAUUGUGACUACUUUUACAUUAUUAUAGCAUAAAUCCUAUAUAAUACUUGAAACUGCAUCUCGGUGCCAAAAAUGUAAAUUUAGUGACGAGCUAAAACCAAUAAAAUUUAGAAUGGAAAUGAGGAAUGUAUGAUCUUUUGUCAUUUACAGCUUUUCAACCUGACUUCACCAUUGUACGCUGAAUAUUUAACCCUC
This 934-nucleotide long non-coding RNA is filed under the name Mytilus galloprovincialis (Mediterranean mussel). Lineage: Eukaryota; Metazoa; Mollusca; Bivalvia; Mytilida; Mytilidae. The record is from RNAcentral.